GACGAACGCUGGCGGCGUGCUUAACACAUGCAAGUCGAACGGAAAGGCCCUGCUUUUGUGGGGUGCUCGAGUGGCGAACGGGUGAGUAACACGUGAGUAACCUGCCCUUGACUUUGGGAUAACUUCAGGAAACUGGGGCUAAUACCGGAUAGGAGCUCCUGCUGCAUGGUGGGGGUUGGAAAGUUUCGGCGGUUGGGGAUGGACUCGCGGCUUAUCAGCUUGUUGGUGGGGUAGUGGCUUACCAAGGCUUUGACGGGUAGCCGGCCUGAGAGGGUGACCGGCCACAUUGGGACUGAGAUACGGCCCAGACUCCUACGGGAGGCAGCAGUGAGGAAUAUUGCACAAUGGGCGGAAGCCUGAUGCAGCAACGCCGCGUGCGGGAUGACGGCCUUCGGGUUGUAAACCGCUUUCGCCUGUGACGAAGCGUGAGUGACGGUAAUGGGUAAAGAAGCACCGGCUAACUACGG
This 467-nucleotide ribosomal RNA is filed under the name uncultured bacterium. RNAcentral's name for it is "partial 16S ribosomal RNA". It matches the Rfam family "Bacterial small subunit ribosomal RNA", at positions 28 to 506 of the family's 1533-position model. The record is from RNAcentral.